RNAcentral lists this long non-coding RNA (460 nucleotides) under Physcomitrium patens. Its description in RNAcentral is "long non-coding RNA (PPAT_LNC003125)". Lineage: Eukaryota; Viridiplantae; Streptophyta; Bryopsida; Funariales; Funariaceae. The record is from RNAcentral.
AAGCCAGAAUGAUUUAACUAUGGAAUGAAGGGUAUUUUAUGUUGGAUGUGGACAAUCUUUCAAUGCGGGAAGUUAUUGAGGGUAGUCCACUAGUGGGAGGUACAAUCCUCGUUGAUUAAUUUUAGUUACGUGUCCUAACCAGCCUUUCUAAAAUUAUUUACAAAAUAUUUCAAGACCAGGACCUAUGCAAUAUCCAAGACCAAUGCCACAAUAUUCAGGUUCUCCUUAAUGGCCACAAACUUUGUCAAGGCAGUCUUAUUAUUGACCGGAUUUAUCAAGGAACAAUUAUUGACCUGAUUUCUUACAAAAUCAUUAUCGACCUUAGUCUUAUUAAAACAUAGAGUUCAAAAAUUCAAAUAUCAGUGAAAUAAAAAAAAAAAAUCUUCAUGUAAUAAUUAUGGAAUUCUUGGCCUUUGGUUGCAAGCUUGUUCUCAAAGUUCUAAAAGAAAUAUAUCCAAAC